CCUAUACGAUACAGUCGGUUAAAAAUGCUUGAUGUGUACAGAGGGACGGACAUGCAGUCCUGUAGCAACUUUUCGGAUGUGAUUGUGCAAGUUCCUUCACUUACACAAGAUGAACCUCUGGAGCCUCUCGCAUUAUGUGCACCCAGUCAGGAGGAAUUGGCUAUCUUGAAGGGAAUUGACAAGGGGGAUGUUCUGAGUAGUGGAGCUCCACAGACUACUAAAGAUGGAACAUUAGCUCGAAACUCAACUGAACAUACUCAACCAAGGCGCGGCAAACUAGGUAGCAGAGAAGAUUUAUCUUUUGAUGAUUCAAGAGAAGAAAGUACCGACAAUGCCAAAGUUUCAGUAGAGGACAGUAUUCUUCAUAGAGAAUGGGAGUCUGUCAAUAGAGAUCCAAGCACACCAGGACACUCACCUGUUCCUCAUGGUGGCGGCUUAUGGCGAUCCUCUUCAAUUGGUGCACGUUCACAUCUGCCGGCUAAUGAUGCUAGAGAUUUGCCAACGGAUAUCAGGUCAAGAACAUCUGAUAUUGGAUGGCUACAGAGCCAGAAAGAUAAGAAUACUGAUCGGGAAAGAGAUCUUACAGAUCCUUCUUACACCAAAAACGAAGGAUCUAAAUGGCAGUUUGGGGAUGAUCCUAUUCUGAAAAGGCAAUUAUCUGCUGCUAUGGACAAAGAGUUGGAGAUGAGGAAAAUUUCACAGUCAUCUCCGGAAGACCUAGUUCUAUAUUACAAAGAUCCACAAGGUGCAAUUCAAGGUCCUUUCUCAGGUAGUGAUAUUAUUGGAUGGUUUGAGGCUGGAUAUUUUGGUAUUGAUUUGCUAGUUCGAUUAGCUGCUGCACCACAUGAUUCACCAUUUUAUCUGCUGGGGGAUGUUAUGCCCCACUUGCGUGCUAAGGCUCGGCCACCACCUGGAUUUGGAGCGCCAAAGCCAAAUGCAGAUGCUCCAGGGGGUUUGAAUGCGAGCAGCUUCACUAAACUUCAUGCAGGUUCAAGUGAGAUUGAUACGGUAAAUAGUGAAAUGAAUUACAAGCAUAACUCAACAGAGGCUGAAAAUAGAUUUUUGGAGUCACUGAUGGCUGGCAAAGUAGGCCAUGCACCGCUUGACAAGUUUUCUCAGUCUGAAGCAGGCAUUCCAG
Molecule: unclassified non-coding RNA, 1138 nt
Filed under: Hevea brasiliensis (rubber tree)
Lineage: Eukaryota; Viridiplantae; Streptophyta; Magnoliopsida; Malpighiales; Euphorbiaceae
Source: RNAcentral